GUCUCCCUAGCUCAGUAAGUAGAGCAUGAGACUCUUAAUCUCAGGGUUGUGAGUUUGAGCCCCAUGUUGAGCA
This is a non-coding RNA of Podarcis lilfordi (Lilford's wall lizard), 73 nucleotides long. The record is from the annotation of a GenBank genome assembly. NCBI's taxonomy places the organism in Eukaryota, Metazoa, Chordata, Lepidosauria, Squamata, Lacertidae.